Molecule: ribosomal RNA, 380 nt
Filed under: uncultured eukaryote
Lineage: Eukaryota
Description: partial 18S ribosomal RNA
Rfam family: Eukaryotic small subunit ribosomal RNA
Source: RNAcentral
CAAUAGCGUAUAUUAAAGUUGUUGCGGUUAAAAGGCUCGUAGUCGGAUUUCUGCUGAAGGCAGCCGGUCCAUGUUCGACAUGCGCAUCUGGAUUGACUUCGGCAUCCUCUCAGAUAACGAUUCUGUGCUUGAUUGCAUGGAGCGGAGUUUGAGACUUUUACUUUGAGGAAAAUAGAGUGCUCACGGCAGGCAAUCGCCCUGAAUAUAUUAGCAUGGAAUAAUAAAAUAGGAUCUUGGUUCUAUUUUGUUGGUUUCUAGAACGAAGAUAAUGAUUAAUAGGGACAAUUGGGGGCAUUCGUAUUAACGCGUCAGAGGUGGAAUUCUUGGAUUGCGUUACGACGAACUACUGCGAAAGCAUUUGCCAAGGAUGUUUUCAUUGA